This 452-nucleotide ribosomal RNA is filed under the name uncultured soil bacterium. RNAcentral's name for it is "bacterial SSU rRNA". It matches the Rfam family "Bacterial small subunit ribosomal RNA", at positions 26 to 513 of the family's 1533-position model. The record is from RNAcentral.
AGAACGAACGCUGGCGGCAUGCCUAACACAUGCAAGUCGAACGAGACCUUCGGGUCUAGUGGCGCACGGGUGCGUAACGCGUGGGAAUCUGCCCUUCGGUUCGGAAUAACAGUUAGAAAUGACUGCUAAUACCGGAUAAUGACGUAAGUCCAAAGAUUUAUCGCCGAAGGAUGAGCCCGCGUAAGAUUUAGCUUGUUGGUGAGGUAAAGGCUCACCAAGGCUACGAUCUUUAGCUGGUCUGAGAGGAUGAUCAGCCACACUGGGACUGAGACACGGCCCAGACUCCUACGGGAGGCAGCAGUGGGGAAUAUUGGACAAUGGGCGAAAGCCUGAUCCAGCAAGUGCCGCGUGACGUGAUGGAAGGCCUUAGGGUUGUAAAGCUCGUUUUACCCGGGAUGAAUAAUGAACACGUAACCGGAGAAAUAAGCUACCGGCUAACGUCCGUGACCGAG